Molecule: small nuclear RNA, 243 nt
Filed under: Erinaceus europaeus (western European hedgehog)
Lineage: Eukaryota; Metazoa; Chordata; Mammalia; Eulipotyphla; Erinaceidae
Description: 7SK RNA
Rfam family: 7SK RNA
About the family: 7SK was discovered as an abundant small nuclear RNA in the mid-70s but a possible function has only recently been suggested. Two independent studies have found that 7SK RNA binds the CDK9/cyclin T complex (known as elongation factor P-TEFb).
Source: Rfam by way of RNAcentral
GGAUGUGAGGGUGGUCUGGCUGUGACAUGACAUCUGUCCCCCUCUUCCAUCACCACUCCAUGUGCAUCCCUCCUGAAACUGUCUGCUCGGUCAAAGAGGACGGCCUUCCCCAAAUAGAGGUGGACCAGUAUUCAAGUAGCUGCUCCCCUGCUAGAACCUCCAAACAAGUUCUCAAGAUGCAUGGUUCCCUGGGUUCAUCUCCCAGCACCACACGUGCUAGUCAGUAGCACUCUGACAUCCUUC